RNAcentral lists this long non-coding RNA (218 nucleotides) under Lathyrus oleraceus (garden pea). Its description in RNAcentral is "Pisum sativum (pea) long non-coding RNA (PSAT_LNC032847)". Lineage: Eukaryota; Viridiplantae; Streptophyta; Magnoliopsida; Fabales; Fabaceae. The record is from RNAcentral.
UAAAACUCCAACUGCAACUAAAACCUUAAUAGAAAACAUGUCAGUCAACUCACAACAAUUCACAACCAGAAACAACUUUGUGGUUCUAACAAAAAGAGUGCAUGAAAUUCAAGCUUCUUCUUCCAACAAGGUUUUAGAAACCAAAAUUGACGAGCUUACUUCACUAGUGAGACACCCGGCAGUAGGAAAAACUCAAACUGAAAGGUUAUAUGGCAUUU